RNAcentral lists this ribosomal RNA (253 nucleotides) under uncultured bacterium. Its description in RNAcentral is "partial 16S ribosomal RNA". It matches the Rfam family "Bacterial small subunit ribosomal RNA", at positions 524 to 776 of the family's 1533-position model. The record is from RNAcentral.
GACGAACCGUGCGAACGUUAUUCGGAAUCACUGGGCUUAAAGGGCGCGUAGGCGGGCGGACAAGUCGGGGGUGAAAUCGUUCGGCCCAACCGGACAAGGGCCCCCGAUACUGGCCGUCUCGAGGGAGGUAGGGGUCGAUGGAACUUCCGGUGGAGCGGUGAAAUGCGUAGAUAUCGGUGGGAACGCCAGUGGCGAAAGCGGCAGACUUGACCCUUCCUGACGCUGAGGCGCGAAAGCUAGGGGAGCAAACGGG